UACAGAGGUCCCGAGCGUUUGUUCGGAUUCACUGGGCGUAAAGGGUGCGUAGGUGGUGAGGUAAGUCGGAUGUGAAAUCUCCGGGCUCAACCCGGAAAUGGCAUUGGAAACUACCUUGCUAGAGGAUUUGAGGGGGGAUUGAGAAUCUUGGUGUAGCAGUGAAAUGCGUAGAUAUCAAGUGGAACACCAGUGGCGAAGGCGAAUCCCUGGAAAAUACCUGACACUCGAGGACACGAAAGCUAGGGGAGCAAACAGG
RNAcentral lists this ribosomal RNA (256 nucleotides) under uncultured bacterium. RNAcentral describes it as "partial 16S ribosomal RNA". It matches the Rfam family "Bacterial small subunit ribosomal RNA", at positions 524 to 776 of the family's 1533-position model. The record is from RNAcentral.